AUACUUACCUGCGAGGCAGUCAACGCGAUCACGACAGGCGGUUCCGCCUAGGCGAGGUUUAGUCAUGCACCCAGACUAGAUUGACACUAGAGAUUAUCCCCAAUGUGGAUAACUCGUCGUGUAAUUUUCUGCUAGUGGGACUGCGUUCGCGCUAUCCUUU
This is a small nuclear RNA of Styela clava, 160 nucleotides long. RefSeq annotates it as U1 spliceosomal RNA. Lineage: Eukaryota; Metazoa; Chordata; Ascidiacea; Stolidobranchia; Styelidae. The record is from RefSeq and is a predicted model, not a curated record.